GAAAUAUUAAUAUCGUUUGGAAAACAAUGCAGCUGAAUCAUAACCCAAUCCCAAAGCAUUGAAUUUUUCUACAGAUCGCGAUUUGUUACGUUUUAAGUGCCAAAAUCUUCUAAUGACGUAAGACAUCCGACUCCAGCGCUUAAUAGAGUUAAAAAGCUACAUUUAUUGUACAAAAAAAAGAAGCAACGAAGCUGAAGGCGAGCGGAUACCAAGAUUGAUGAAAGAGCACUAUGUAUGCCCGGCUUGUCCACUACAAUGUAUGGAACACGUGCACAAACUACCAAGCUGUAAUUCUAAGGAUCAAAACUGUUUUCAAUUGAGUUACGCCAUUUUCACUGGGUGUACAUGCUUCCAUUUUACUAAAUUAAUAUUGUAUAUUAAUAUUAUUAUUAAAAAGUGUUUAAUACUUGAUUGUUGGUGUGCAUAUUAAUAACAAUUUUUUUAAAUAAAUUAACGACUCUUUCAAGGAUGAGCUUUUGUGAGUUUUCCUUAGGAAAGCAGCUGCUAUCAGUGAACCUUUCAUCUGCGAAAAUUCAUAACGACUCUUGGAUUUCACCUUCGUCAGAUUUUUCAACAAUAAAGAAAGAAAUUGUUAAGAAAAGUCAGUUGUUGCUUGCCAAAGAUGAUAAUUCCUUUGAGGUUAGUUUUCAACCAACAAAUAUUUUAGCCCAAAGGAAUAUUUUAGUCGUAAUAGAUUUAAAUGGUUUUCUAUACCACAGAAUCUUUAAAUGCCAACAUUUUAGUGAGACGGAGUUAUCUUCAAAAGUCCCUUGUUACCGUUUAGGUAAUUUUUAUGUUUAUCCCAGGCCUCACUAUAAAAGUUUUCUGCAAUUUCUAUUUGCAAAUUUUCAUGUGGGGUUGUGGUCUAGUGCUAAGAAACAUAAUAUUUUGAGGCUUAUAAACGAUGAAAAUUGUGGAUUUCCUAAAACCUUUUUGGACAUGUUAACUUUUAUAUUUGAUCAAUCCCAUUGCACUGCAAUUCCAGUUCCUAACUCUAAAAAACCUUUAUUUCUAAAAGAUUUAAACGAUAGCGUUGAAAAAUUGCAGAGGAAUCCGAAAUAUACGAGUAUAUCGCCGCCCACUUGGACUCGUAACGAUGUUAAAGAUGAAAGUCUUGGGAUCAACGGCUCAGUUAGAAAAUUUUUGACUCAUCUAUUGGAUGCUGGAAAAGUGAAUGUCCCAGAAUUUGUGGAAACACAUCCGUUUACUGCCUUGUAAGAGUAAUAAAAACCUUUGUUAAAACUUCAA
Molecule: long non-coding RNA, 1248 nt
Organism: Zophobas morio
Lineage: Eukaryota; Metazoa; Arthropoda; Insecta; Coleoptera; Tenebrionidae
Exons: 4
Source: RefSeq, a predicted model, not a curated record